UUGAUUGGGUACGUACGUGUUUGGA
RNAcentral lists this non-coding RNA (25 nucleotides) under Mus musculus (house mouse). The record is from RNAcentral. Lineage: Eukaryota; Metazoa; Chordata; Mammalia; Rodentia; Muridae.